AGAGUUUGAUCCUGGCUCAGGAUGAACGCUGGCGGCGUGCCUAACACAUGCAAGUCGAACGAAGCAACCAAGAGGAAGUUUUCGGAUGGAUUUUUAGUUGACUGAGUGGCGGACGGGUGAGUAACGCGUGGGUAACCUGCCUCAUACAGGGGGAUAACAGUUAGAAAUGACUGCUAAUACCGCAUAAGCGCACGAUACCGCAUGGUAUUGUGUGAAAAACUCCGGUGGUAUGAGAUGGACCCGCGUCUGAUUAGCUAGUUGGCGGGGUAACGGCCCACCAAGGCGACGAUCAGUAGCCGACCUGAGAGGGUGACCGGCCACAUUGGGACUGAGACACGGCCCAA
Molecule: ribosomal RNA, 344 nt
Filed under: uncultured bacterium
Lineage: Bacteria
Description: bacterial SSU rRNA
Rfam family: Bacterial small subunit ribosomal RNA
Source: RNAcentral